Molecule: small nuclear RNA, 107 nt
Filed under: Laticauda laticaudata (blue-ringed sea krait)
Lineage: Eukaryota; Metazoa; Chordata; Lepidosauria; Squamata; Elapidae
Source: RNAcentral
GUGCUCACUUCAGCAGCACAUAUACUAAAAUUGGAACGAUGCAGAGAAGAUUAGCAUGGCCCCUGCACAAGAAUGACAGACAAAUUUGACAGACAUAUUUUACAAUA